RNAcentral lists this ribosomal RNA (253 nucleotides) under uncultured bacterium. RNAcentral describes it as "partial 16S ribosomal RNA". It matches the Rfam family "Bacterial small subunit ribosomal RNA", at positions 524 to 776 of the family's 1533-position model. The record is from RNAcentral.
UACGAAGGGAGCUAGCGUUGUUCGGAAUCACUGGGCGUAAAGCGCACGUAGGCGGAUGUGUCAGUCAGGGGUGAGAUCCCGGAGCUCAACUUCGGAACUGCCUUUGAUACAGCACGUCUUGAGUCCGAUAGAGGUGGGUGGAAUUCCUAGUGUAGAGGUGAAAUUCGUAGAUAUUCGGAAGAACACCAGUGGCGAAGGCGGCUCACUGGCCCGGUACUGACGCUGAGGUGCGAAAGCGUGGGGAGCAAACAGG